GUGGGAGGGGGCUUGCCCCCGAUGGCGGCGUGUCAAUCAAUUCAGUGUUGGCUGAUCCACUGCAAUCGGGGGCAAGCCCCCUCCCAC
This 87-nucleotide unclassified non-coding RNA is filed under the name Pseudomonas orientalis. The record is from RNAcentral. Lineage: Bacteria; Pseudomonadati; Pseudomonadota; Gammaproteobacteria; Pseudomonadales; Pseudomonadaceae.